This is a long non-coding RNA of Etheostoma cragini (Arkansas darter), 334 nucleotides long. RefSeq lists it as uncharacterized. The record is from RefSeq and is a predicted model, not a curated record. NCBI's taxonomy places the organism in Eukaryota, Metazoa, Chordata, Actinopteri, Perciformes, Percidae. The transcript has 3 exons.
AGUAACUGGUGAAUUGUCAUGACAAAGGACUUCUCUCCAUAUUUGUCUUAUUACAUCUCGGUGCUGCAUUUGAAACUAUUGACCAUACCACGCUGUUACAGAAACUGGAACAUUUAGUUGGUAGUAAAGGAAUCACACUAAGCUGGUUUAAGUCCAAUUUCUCUGUUCAAUGUAAAUUUGUUAAUAUUAAUGAUAAAUCCAAGUACGCUAAAGUUACCUGUGGCGUUCUGCAAGGCUCAUUGCUUGGACCAGUUCUAUUCUCCUUAUCUAUGCUUCCUCUAGGCAAUAUUAUUGGGAAACACUAAAUUAACUUUCACUGUUAUGCGGUUGACAC